Octodon degus (degu) is the source of this 1270-nucleotide long non-coding RNA. RefSeq lists it as uncharacterized. The transcript is spliced from 3 exons. Lineage: Eukaryota; Metazoa; Chordata; Mammalia; Rodentia; Octodontidae. The record is from RefSeq and is a predicted model, not a curated record.
UUCUGCAUGCUCAAUAAAAGCAGUGGAUCAAAGAGAAAUUGAUUAACUGCUAUAAGGUACGGCUGCAAUGAGCAAGCCGCACCUGAUCUUCUGUCCUUCCAAAGGAUGUUCAGUGACAACUUAGAAGGAUACAAAUUGAAUUGCUUUGAAAGCAAGGCAAUUCCAGUUUAGCAUCAUUUAAACUAUAUUAAGUGCAACUCAACUUCAUAAGGCAGCAGCUGGGAAAGCCCCACUUGCUACUCCAAGGAAGGGAAGGGUGUACAAAAGAAUUGGUUCUCAGCUUUCCCAUUUUGAAGCAGGCAAUAUUGGAAGAGGUAACAGAAGCCAAAGUUUAUGCAGUACAUAAAGAAGUGGGGAAGAAUGCAGCUGAUUAAAGAGCUGGGAAUGGACAGAUUUCACUUGCACAGAGGAGAAUAGGGACACUUGUGUGGAAGAUUAGGAUGCUUGCCCAGGUGCAAUGGCUCCAAGACUUUUCCUUUUUCCUCCAGCUUUCUCCAGCAUAAGAUCUAGGAAAACAGAUUAUGGAUACUUCAGGUCAGUGUGGGCAUCCAAAACCAGAUGUCACUUGUGUCCAAGAGUUCCUCAGUCCCGUGUACUCUGCUGUCUUGGGGCAGUAACAGCAGGGCAAGAGGACAGAUGGCUCUAAAGAGAGGUCUGAGGAAACUAAGCUUCCUGCCAUUAAAGAAACACCAGAGAACAUCCAAAAAUUAUACACACACUCCCAAAAUGUUUGAAAAAUGAUUGAGAGGGACCAAUAGACCAAAAGACCCUCCAGAUCAGGACUGGUAAGUUCAAAGGACAUGGACCAAGGAACAAGGACAACCCAUGAAACUUCUUAUUACUUAAUGCACUCAGGUGCUGGUGGGAGCAGAUGCUGACAGCCAUUGACCUACUGGGCUUGGCCUUGGGGCUCUUGACUUCAGUCUUGUCCUGAAACCUUAGUUUUUGUUCCAGGGAAGAGUAGAGGGAGGAAGGAGGAAGUUCUUACCUGAAACUAUAUUUCAGUGAGUACUGUGCUUAUUUAGGGUACUUUUCCAAUUAUGUAUGAAGUAUGUUUUAUAUUCACCCAGUGUACUCACCAUAAAAUUAAGUAAUUUGAAUUAAUUGCUUCUCUAAAAAGUAUGACCACUAAAGUGAACUCUGAUAGCUCUUGUAAGACUCUUGGACCUUGGACAUCAGGCAUUAUUUGUGUCCUGGGAUCCUUUCCUAAUGUAGUGAAACAUAGAAGAACCUAUAAUUUUUAAAACAUGGUGUAGUUCUGGUUCUGCUU